GGUUGAUCCUGCCAGUAGUCAUAUGCUUGUCUCAAAGACUAAGCCAUGCAUGUCUAAGUAUAAACAAUUAUAUAGUGAAACUGCGACUGGCUCAUUAAAUCAGUUAUAGUUUAUUUGAUAUUAUCUUUCUCUACUUGGAUAACUGUAGAAAAUCUAGAGCUAAUACAUGCAAAACAAAUUCAAACUAGUACUUAAAAAAUACUGGAAUGAAUGUAUUUAUUAGAUGAGAAACCAAUAUGGGGAAACCCAUUUAAUUAGGUGAAUCAUAAUAACUUUUUAUAAAUGAUAGAGGG
RNAcentral lists this ribosomal RNA (293 nucleotides) under uncultured eukaryote. RNAcentral describes it as "partial 18S ribosomal RNA". It matches the Rfam family "Eukaryotic small subunit ribosomal RNA", at positions 6 to 278 of the family's 1831-position model. The record is from RNAcentral.